UGGGCCAAAAUCUUUACUGGUGUAAGUCAGCAUAGCUCUACUGAAGUCAUUGAAGCUACUCUGAUUUACACUAGAUGAGACUCUGGCCCA
Molecule: microRNA precursor, 90 nt
Filed under: Pelodiscus sinensis (Chinese soft-shelled turtle)
Lineage: Eukaryota; Metazoa; Chordata; Testudines; Trionychidae
Description: miRNA (ENSPSIG00000019812.1)
Source: RNAcentral